UACGGAGGGGGCUAGCGUUGUUCGGAAUUACUGGGCGUAAAGCGCGCGUAGGCGGCUUUGUAAGUUAGAGGUGAAAGCCCGGAGCUCAACUUCGGAAUUGCCUUUAAGACUGCAUCGCUAGAAUCAUGGAGAGGUUAGUGGAAUUCCGAGUGUAGAGGUGAAAUUCGUAGAUAUUCGGAAGAACACCAGUGGCGAAGGCGACUAACUGGACAUGUAUUGACGCUGAGGUGCGAAAGCGUGGGGAGCAAACAGG
RNAcentral lists this ribosomal RNA (253 nucleotides) under uncultured bacterium. RNAcentral describes it as "partial 16S ribosomal RNA". It matches the Rfam family "Bacterial small subunit ribosomal RNA", at positions 524 to 776 of the family's 1533-position model. The record is from RNAcentral.